RNAcentral lists this ribosomal RNA (253 nucleotides) under uncultured bacterium. RNAcentral's name for it is "partial 16S ribosomal RNA". It matches the Rfam family "Bacterial small subunit ribosomal RNA", at positions 524 to 776 of the family's 1533-position model. The record is from RNAcentral.
UACAGAGGUCUCAACCGUUGUUCGGAUUCAUUGGGCGUAAAGAGUUCGUAGGCGGCGCAGAAAGUAGGGUGUGAAAGCCCUCGGCUCAACCGAGGAAUUGCGCUCUAAACUACUGUGCUUGAGGAAUCUAGAGGUGAGCGGAACUGAUGGUGGAGCGGUGAAAUGCGUUGAUAUCAUCAGGAACACCGGAGGCGAAGGCGGCUCACUGGGGAUUUUCUGACGCUGAGGAACGAAAGCCAGGGGAGCGAACGGG